RNAcentral lists this ribosomal RNA (898 nucleotides) under Periconiella sp. RNAcentral describes it as "LSU rRNA". It matches the Rfam family "Eukaryotic large subunit ribosomal RNA", at positions 33 to 968 of the family's 3401-position model. The record is from RNAcentral. Lineage: Eukaryota; Fungi; Ascomycota; Dothideomycetes; Mycosphaerellales; Mycosphaerellaceae.
CUUAAGCAUAUCAAUAAGCGGAGGAAAAGAAACCAACAGGGAUUGCCCUAGUAACGGCGAGUGAAGCGGCAACAGCUCAAAUUUGAAAUCUGGCGCAAGCCCGAAUUGUAAUUUGUAGAGGAUGCUUCUGGGCAGCGGCCGUUCUAAGUACCUUGGAACAGGACGUCAUAGAGGGUGAGAAUCCCGUAUGUGACCGGCGCGCACCCUCCACGUAGCUCCUUCGACGAGUCGAGUUGUUUGGGAAUGCAGCUCUAAAUGGGAGGUAAAUUUCUUCUAAAGCUAAAUACCGGCCAGAGACCGAUAGCGCACAAGUAGAGUGAUCGAAAGAUGAAAAGCACUUUGGAAAGAGAGUUAAAAAGCACGUGAAAUUGUUGAAAGGGAAGCGCUUACAACCAGACUUCGUGGCGGUGUUCCGCCGGUCUUCUGACCGGUUCAUUCGCCGCCGCGAGGCCAGCAUCAUCUGGGGCCGCUGGAUAAGACCUUGGGAAUGUGGCUCCUCGGAGUGUUAUAGCCCAUGGUGAUGCAGCGUGCCCCGGGUGAGGUCCGCGCUUCGGCAAGGAUGCUGGCGUAAUGGUUGUCAGCGGCCCGUCUUGAAACACGGACCAAGGAGUCUAACAUCUAUGCGAGUGUUCGGGUGUCAAACCCCUACGCGUAAUGAAAGUGAACGGAGGUGGGAACUUUUGUGCACCAUCGACCGAUCCUGAUGUCCUCGGAUGGAUUUGAGUAAGAGCAUAGCUGUUGGGACCCGAAAGAUGGUGAACUAUGCCUGAAUAGGGUGAAGCCAGAGGAAACUCUGGUGGAGGCUCGCAGCGGUUCUGACGUGCAAAUCGAUCGUCAAAUUUGGGUAUAGGGGCGAAAGACUAAUCGAACCAUCUAGUAGCUGGUUCCUGCCGAAGUU